RNAcentral lists this small nucleolar RNA (110 nucleotides) under Lupinus albus (white lupine). Its description in RNAcentral is "Plant small nucleolar RNA R71". It matches the Rfam family "Plant small nucleolar RNA R71". From Rfam's summary of the family: R71 is a member of the C/D box family of snoRNAs containing the C (UGAUGA) and D (CUGA) box motifs. Multiple nearly identical copies of this snoRNA have been identified in Arabidopsis, and it is thought to function as a 2'-O-ribose methylation guide for 18S ribosomal RNA. The record is from Rfam by way of RNAcentral. Lineage: Eukaryota; Viridiplantae; Streptophyta; Magnoliopsida; Fabales; Fabaceae.
GAAAUAUGAUGAUGGGGGAAGCUUGCACAUAACCUCUUGAAUCUCUCCCAAUACUCAUAUAAACUUUCUCCAUGUUGUUGCCUAAUCCAAGAAAUAUCCUUUCUGAUUGC